CGACCAGCCACACUGGGACUGAGACACGGCCCACACUCCUACGGGAGGCAGCAGUGGGGAAUUUUGGACAAUGGGGGCAACCCUGAUCCAGCCAUGCCGCGUGCGGGAAGAAGGCCUUCGGGUUGUAAACCGCUUUUGUCGGGGAAGAAACGGUCUGCGCUAAUACCGCGGACUAAUGACGGUACCCGAAGAAUAAGCACCGGCUAACUACGUGCCAUCAUCCGCGGUAAUACGUAGGGUGCAAGCGUUAAUCGGAAUUACUGGGCGUAAAGCGUGCGCAGGCGGCUUUGCAAGACAGAUGUGAAAUCCCCGGGCUCAACCUGGGAACUGCAUUUGUGACUGUAUAGCUAGAGUACGGUAGAGGGGGAUGGAAUUCCGCGUGUAGCAGUGAAAUGCGUAGAUAUGCGGAGGAACACUGAUGGCGAAGGCAAUCCCCUGGACCUGUACUGACGCUCAUGCACGAAAGCGUGCGGAGCAAACAGGAUUAGAUACCCUGUGUAGUCCACGCCCUAAACUAUGUCAACUGGUUGUUGGGUCUUCACUGACUCAGUAACGAACUCACGCGUGAAGUUGACCGCCUGGAGAGUACGGCCGCAAGGUUGAAACUCAAGGAAGUGACUGGAGUCCCACACACGCGGUAGAUGAUGUCGUAUUAUUGCGAUGCUCUCGACAAAUCCUUACCCACCA
Molecule: ribosomal RNA, 687 nt
Filed under: uncultured bacterium
Lineage: Bacteria
Description: bacterial SSU rRNA
Rfam family: Bacterial small subunit ribosomal RNA
Source: RNAcentral